UAAAAAUUGCAAUUUACAAUUUAUAACUAGUAGAACUGCAUAAUCUGAACAAUUAUAUUAAUUGAAGAUGUGUACUGGUAAUUACUAAUUAGUAUGCAACACUUAAAAAAGUGUGUCAAAAUAGGACACAAUAUGCUGUGUUGAUAUUAUAUUUUCAUAUGUUUCACCUGUAUGUAAAAUUACAUUGCAUUUUAUAGUGUUAAUGGUUACACAGAUACCACCUAAUAAUAAGGUGUAUCAUAAAUAAACAGUUACUAUUGGACAUUUGCAGCAAGAAACUAAAUUCACUUGUGUGUGUGCACUGUGGCAUUUUUCACCAGCUCUCCAAAGGCUGAUGUGCUGCUUUGCUAGCUGAUCUAUAUGACUUUUUUUCCUCUCUCUCCAUAGGCAGCAGUUGACCCAACACCAGGGUAAGGCUAUAGCCUAAGCUACCUAAUGUUAGUGUAAGCUGUUAACAGCGCACAUACUAAACCUGUCUUUUUAGGCAAGUGCCAGAAAAUGUCAUGGAAUGUUUAAUAUUAAUGAAUAUAUUAAUGAAUUUAAUAAAAAACAUUACAAGUUUGGCCUAUUAAUUGUAAUGAUUUUUCAACAGUAAUUCAAACAACAACAAAAAAUAAAUAAAGCGAGCAUAGAACACAGUAUCAACUGAGCCUUGUGAAACUCUGAAUCCAUUGCAUCACAAAAUGUUUCACUGUUUUGAAUCGCUCCAAUCGAAUCAUGUAUCGCAAAUCAUUUGGUUCAGAACGGGACUUCAAAGCACAUAUCGCGAAUCGCGAAUCUGAAUCAAAUGAUUCGCGAUACCCGCUUUGAAGUUCUCCCGUUCUAACUGGAAGAAAAUGAGAAAACGCACCGUGAGGCACCGAGAAUCGUUUUAUGCUUAAAUUGAAUCGCGAGUAAAGUGAAUAUUCGCUCCAUUGCUACAGAAACAGAAAUCACGUGAAAGAAGUGAAUUUGUUUGCCCCCUGCUGGAUAUUAUAUUACAAUGGAAAUGAAGAGGAACAUUAUUUCAUUGCUUAGAGAGUCACAGAUCCGUGGGGUAGGUCUAAAAGUUGUGGGUGAGCGUGUGUGGGAAAACAACGAAGAAAACGAAGUAAGUGUAAUCAUAAUAGCAAGUAUUCCGGGUGGCAGUGGUAAGGCUGUGAUCCCCGUUCUCGGUCACAGAGAAAUCGAAGAUCUGAAAGGUAAGAUGUUUUAUAGAAUGCGCAUUGCUUGUGCUUUUAAUUAUGUGUGAAAACCUAUGCCACAUAAAUGUUAUAAUCGCUGAAAGUAAAAUAUACACGUUAGUAAAGAACGUUACUGUGCAUUAACCUAUAGCAGCAGAACCACUUCGUAACCCACUGCAGGAAGACGACGAUCGGCAAGUAUAACAUUUUUGUUAACAAAUAUUACAAUAUUAUAUACUAUAGUAUUCGUAAUGGUAUGUGUUGUACCUCACAUAUUGUUAUUGAGUUAGCUAAUGCAGGCUUACUAGCAAAUUUUAACAUAUGGCCCGGUUUCACAGACAUGGCUCAGCCAGGACUAGGCCUUAGAUAAUCUAAAAUACGUACUUAUCUUUUUGUAAAAAUGCAUUAGAAAAUAACUUUACUGAUGUGCACCUUGAGACAAAACAAUGGCAUUUACAUAUUUUAAGAUAUGUCAAUGCAAGUUAUUUUCUGUUAUGACAUCUCAACCAUGCAUUUUAGUCUGGGUCUAGCCUUAAAGGCACAACAUGUAAGGUUUUUUUUUUAUUAUUAAAAUAUCCAAAAACCCUAGAACAGUGUUAUACAUUUUGCUCACUUGUGUUUUUAGAUUAUCAGAAAUGUUUUGAAGAACUUUUGAAAUACAGAGAAAUAAACUAUUUUAACUAGAGUAUCCUAUCGUGUCCUUGUGUCACCUGCCAAUGACGACAUGCACCCUCGAUUUUCUUGUUUUAUUUUGUAGAAAACAUGGAAACCCCAAAGACACUUUAAUAUGCUUAUGCAUUUCAUUAUACAGGUGACAAACGCACAUAAGAACUUUCAACACAGGUUAAUGUAUCUAGUAUGAUAAAAAUACAGCGCUGCUUUUCCUACAUAUGUAUGACCAGAAGAAGCGGAAGCGGUCGACUGUGGCAUAAUAAAAGCUCUGCUUCUUUCAAGCUGUGUGUUGCACUCGUCCUUCAUUAGUAAUUGCCCCAGUGGCCUUGUUUUGCUUCCAUGACUUUCAGCCCAACCUUAAUUAGUCUUUAAUACAUUAGCUCAUUCAUUAACAUGACUUCUGCCUGAGUCCCAUUGGAUGGCAUUGGCUGUAAGGAUGAAGACAAAACUCCCAUGAUUCCACACUCAAUCACUACGUUACCAAACAUCUUUGUUUGUUUUGAAUUUGUGCCCUCUAGCAGCGAAAACGUACAUAUUGUGCCUUUAAGCCUGGUUUGUGAAACUGGGGGUUCAUGUGAUUUACUUAAUUAGGUAAGGCUACAUGGUUAGUAGUUCUGCAGGAAUUUUUGUAAGGGCAGUCUUCUUUUUAGUAGAUUUAAUGCCAUGGGUGAUGAAGACGUCCCCACCCCACCCCAGUCCCACCCAGCUGUUGGUUCUAGUGAUGGAGGAAACCUUGCCCCAACUGCCUCUAUCACCCUUCAAAAACUGAAGGAAGACAAGAGGGCAUUGAUGCAACAGCGAGAUCAGCUGAGAACAGAGUUGAAUCGGCUGUUGGACUCAGUUGCUGCCCCAGCGCCUGGUCCAUCAACUGUGCCUGCCUGUCCUCAUAGCUACAAGAAACUAGGAAAGAAGAGGAUGAGGGUGACAUCCUCGUCAGAAUCUUCAACCUCCACUUACUCAUCAACCUCUUCCUCAUCUUCAUCUUCCUCGUCUUCCUCUGAGAGAAAAAAAAGAAGAAGAAGAAGAAGAAAAAGAAAAUAAAAAAAUCCAAUCAAAGAUCAUUUGGGAGAAGAAUGAGUACCCCGGAACAAGUAAUUCAUCGUUAUAAGCUUCUGCUUAAAACAUAUCAAAAACUUCGGAGCCUUCCAGAGUGCUUGAAAAAGCACAAGGUGGACAAAACCACCUUGGCAUUGUCAAGUAUCAUUGCAGAGGUAUGUAUGAGUACAGACGUAUUCAUAAUUUUAGUGUUGUUUUUACACAGCUUGCUGUCAAGUACAAGUGAUUGACCACUCCCUAUUACAUUACAAUUUUGA
Molecule: long non-coding RNA, 3148 nt
Organism: Labeo rohita (rohu)
Lineage: Eukaryota; Metazoa; Chordata; Actinopteri; Cypriniformes; Cyprinidae
Exons: 3
Source: RefSeq, a predicted model, not a curated record